ACCCUUGUGGAGGAGGACGCCGAAGGUGGGGCUAAUGACUGGGGUGAAGUCGUAACAAGGUAGCCGUACCGGAAGGUGCGGCUGGAUCACCUCCUAACAGGGAGACAACAAAAUGUUUAAUAUUAUUAUUUUGUCACCUUAGGUCGAUCGGUACCUCGCAUUCUUAAUUUAUUAAGGAUUUCAUUUCCUAAGUUUUUCUAGGUCACACCCAUUUUUUUUCCUGGGCCAUUAGCUCAGGUGGUUAGAGCGCACCCCUGAUAAGGGUGAGGUCCCUGGUUCAAGUCCAGGAUGGCCCAUAUCUCUAUGUUGGGGGUAUAGCUCAGUUGGUAGAGCGCCUGCUUUGCAAGCAGGAUGUCAGCGGUUCGAGUCCGCUUACCUCCACUGAUUACCACCUCUUCCAUAAACGAUUAGGGAGGAAUUAUUUUGAGUUGUGACCAAUUUCUGAACGAAUCUAGCUUCCUAAUGAAAUCAUUAAGAUGCUGGACUCAUUGAAUUAAAUUCAUUGUUUUCAGAGAACCUUGACAACUGCAUAGAUUAUUUUUAAAGACAAUAAGCAUCUUUAAUGAUGCAGAUUUAUUAUUUGUGCGAAUGCAUUAAUAACAAUUCUAUUGAGCUGAUGCUUCAAUUUUUGAAGUUAUUGGUCAAGCUACAAAGGGCUCACGGAGGAUACCUAGGCACACA
This 681-nucleotide unclassified non-coding RNA is filed under the name uncultured Prochlorococcus sp. RNAcentral's name for it is "partial may contain 16S ribosomal RNA, 16S-23S ribosomal RNA intergenic spacer, and 23S ribosomal RNA". The stretch from base 1 to 97 matches the Rfam family "Bacterial small subunit ribosomal RNA", at positions 1437 to 1533 of the family's 1533-position model. The record is from RNAcentral. Lineage: Bacteria; Bacillati; Cyanobacteriota; Cyanophyceae; Synechococcales; Prochlorococcaceae.